Molecule: ribosomal RNA, 253 nt
Filed under: uncultured Eubacteriales bacterium
Lineage: Bacteria; Bacillati; Bacillota; Clostridia; Eubacteriales
Description: uncultured Clostridiales bacterium partial 16S ribosomal RNA
Rfam family: Bacterial small subunit ribosomal RNA
Source: RNAcentral
UACGUAUGGUGCAAGCGUUAUCCGGAUUUACUGGGUGUAAAGGGAGCGCAGGCGGCGCGUUAAGUCUGAUGUGAAAACCCGCGGCUCAACUGCGGGACUGCAUUGGAAACUGGCGGGCUUGAGUGCCGGAGAGGCAAGCGGAAUUCCUAGUGUAGCGGUGAAAUGCAUAGAUAUCACGCAGAACUCCGAUUGCGAAGGCAGCAUACCGGCGCCCAACUGACGCUGAAGCACGAAAGCGUGGGUAUCGAACAGG